GCCUAAAGCGUCCGUAGCCGGCUCUGUUAGUUUUCGGUUAAAUCCAUAUGCUCAACAUAUGGGCCGCCGGGAAUACUGCAAAGCUAGGGAGUGGGAGAGGUAGACGGUACUCCAUAGGAAGGGGUAAAAUCCUUUGAUCUAUGGAUGACCACCUGUGGCGAAGGCGGUCUACCAGAACACGUUCGACGGUGAGGGAUGAAAGCUGGGGGAGCAAACCGGAUUAGAUACCCGGGUAGUCCCAGCUGUAAACUAUGCAAACUCAGUGAUGCAUUGGCUUGUGGCCAGUGCAGUGCCGCAGAGAAGUCGUUAAGUUUGCCGCCUGGGAAGUACGUACGCAAGUAUGAAACUUAAAGGAAUUGGCGGGGGAGCACCACAAGGGGUGAAGCCUGCGGUUCAAUUGGAGUCAACGCCAGAAAUCUUACCCGGAGAGACAGCAGGAUGAAGGUCAAGCUGAAGACUUUACCAGACAAGCUGAGAAGUGGUGCAUGGCCGUCGCCGGCUCGUGCCGUGAGAUGUCCUGUUAAGUCAGGUAACGAGCGAGAUCCUUGCCUCUAGUUGCCACCAUUACUCUCAGGAGUAGUGGGGCGAAUUAGCGGGACUGCCGUAGUUAAUACGGAGGAAGGAGAGGGCCACGGCAGGUCAGUAUGCCCCGAA
RNAcentral lists this ribosomal RNA (654 nucleotides) under uncultured archaeon. RNAcentral's name for it is "bacterial SSU rRNA". It matches the Rfam family "Archaeal small subunit ribosomal RNA", at positions 508 to 1160 of the family's 1478-position model. The record is from RNAcentral.